Molecule: transfer RNA, 75 nt
Filed under: Candidatus Altimarinota bacterium
Lineage: Bacteria; Candidatus Altimarinota
Description: tRNA-Gly
Rfam family: tRNA
About the family: Transfer RNA (tRNA) molecules are approximately 80 nucleotides in length. Their secondary structure includes four short double-helical elements and three loops (D, anti-codon, and T loops).
Source: RNAcentral
GCGGGUAUAGUACAAUGGUUAGUACAUGGGUUUUCCAAACCUAGGAUGCGGGUUCGAUUCCCGCUACCCGCUCCA